CUAACCGGUACUAAUGGGCCGGUGAGGCUUAACCUUACAACGCCGAAGC
Molecule: ribosomal RNA, 49 nt
Filed under: Escherichia coli O121:H19 str. 2010C-3840
Lineage: Bacteria; Pseudomonadati; Pseudomonadota; Gammaproteobacteria; Enterobacterales; Enterobacteriaceae
Description: partial 23S ribosomal RNA
Source: RNAcentral